AUCCCUGCCUUCAAGACCUUCUUGUCUCCAAAAGUGCACCAGGACCUUUCCUGUGCAUUUCCAGUGCCUGUUCUAGAGUAAAGAACAUAAACUUAAUUUACUUAAUAAUUCUAGAGAAUAUUCCUCUGCUCUUGGGUUGGGAAGCUCUUAUCUGUAGAAGACGACUAUCUGUAGAAGAAGAUUUUGGUGAUGACACUUACAGGAGCAAACGGACCAUGUGCCCAGCCAGUAUGUGCACAGCUUUCUGACGUUCCCCAGAGAAGAAUGACAAAUCAGUAAGAAAUACAAUAGAGACAAGAGUGAGUAGAGAAGAGGC
Hyaena hyaena (striped hyena) is the source of this 316-nucleotide long non-coding RNA. RefSeq lists it as uncharacterized. The transcript is spliced from 3 exons. The record is from RefSeq and is a predicted model, not a curated record. Lineage: Eukaryota; Metazoa; Chordata; Mammalia; Carnivora; Hyaenidae.